UACGUAGGGUGCAAGCGUUAAUCGGAAUUACUGGGCGUAAAGCGUGCGCAGGCGGUUGUGCAAGUCAGAUGUGAAAUCCCCGGGCUUAACCUGGGAACUGCAUUUGUGACUGCACGGCUAGAGUGUGUCAGAGGGGGGUAGAAUUCCACGUGUAGCAGUGAAAUGCGUAGAUAUGUGGAGGAAUACCGAUGGCGAAGGCAGCCCCCUGGGAUAACACUGACGCUCAUGCACGAAAGCGUGGGGAGCAAACAGG
RNAcentral lists this ribosomal RNA (253 nucleotides) under uncultured bacterium. RNAcentral's name for it is "partial 16S ribosomal RNA". It matches the Rfam family "Bacterial small subunit ribosomal RNA", at positions 524 to 776 of the family's 1533-position model. The record is from RNAcentral.